This is a non-coding RNA of Acanthosepion pharaonis, 99 nucleotides long. Lineage: Eukaryota; Metazoa; Mollusca; Cephalopoda; Sepiida; Sepiidae. The record is from the annotation of a GenBank genome assembly.
AUUGAUACACCAGUUCUUGUACAAUCACCAAAGUUAAGCAAUGUUGAGCCUGGUCAGUACCUUGAUAAGUGACUGCUUGGGAAUACAAGGUGCUGUAAU